GUAUUGUUGAAGAGUCCCACAAUAGGACGAAACGGUCGUCCAAUGC
Molecule: non-coding RNA, 46 nt
Filed under: Schistosoma margrebowiei
Lineage: Eukaryota; Metazoa; Platyhelminthes; Trematoda; Strigeidida; Schistosomatidae
Source: RNAcentral